Molecule: unclassified non-coding RNA, 156 nt
Filed under: uncultured Helotiales
Lineage: Eukaryota; Fungi; Ascomycota; Leotiomycetes; Helotiales
Description: sequence contains ITS1
Source: RNAcentral
CCGAGUUCAUGCCCUUACGGGUAGAUCUCCCACCCUUUGUAUACUAUACCUUUGUUGCUUUGGCGGGCCGCCUAGCUACUGGCUUCGGCUGGUAAGUGCCCGCCAGAGGACCCAAACUCGUUUGUUUAGUGAUGUCUGAGUACUAUAUAAUAGUUA